Molecule: small nucleolar RNA, 132 nt
Organism: Sciurus vulgaris (Eurasian red squirrel)
Lineage: Eukaryota; Metazoa; Chordata; Mammalia; Rodentia; Sciuridae
Gene: SNORA61
Product: small nucleolar RNA, H/ACA box 61
Source: Ensembl
ACCCUCUGGUUCCCUUUCCCAUCGGAUCUGAACACUGGUCUUGGUGGUCGUAAAAGGAGGAAAAGUAAUACUGAAGCUGGCCUCACAGUGUUCUAGUAUGUUAUAUAGCACAUGGGCUAGUUUCAAACAGGG